GACGAACGCUGGCGGCGUGCUUAACACAUGCAAGUCGAACGGAAAGGCCCUGCUUUUGCGGGGUGCUCGAGUGGCGAACGGGUGAGUAACACGUGAGUAACCUGCCCUUGACUUUGGGAUAACUUCAGGAAACUGGGGCUAAUACCGGAUAGGAGCUCCUGCUGCAUGGUGGGGGUUGGAAAGUUUCGGCGGUUGGGGAUGGACUCGCGGCUUAUCAGCUUGUUGGUGGGGUAGUGGCUUACCAAGGCUUUGACGGGUAGCCGGCCUGAGAGGGUGACCGGCAACAUUGGGACUGAGAGACGGCCCAGACUCCUACGGGAGGCAGCAGUGGGGAAUAUUGCACAAUGGGCGGAAGCCUGAUGCAGCAACGCCGCGUGCGGGAUGACGGCCUUCGGGUUGUAAACCGCUUUCGCCUGUGACGAAGCGUGAGUGACGGUAAUGGGUAAAGAAGCACCGGCUAACUACGUG
RNAcentral lists this ribosomal RNA (468 nucleotides) under uncultured bacterium. RNAcentral's name for it is "partial 16S ribosomal RNA". It matches the Rfam family "Bacterial small subunit ribosomal RNA", at positions 28 to 507 of the family's 1533-position model. The record is from RNAcentral.